CCUACGGGUCGCACCAGUGGGGAAUAUUGCACAAUGGGCGCAAGCCUGAUGCAGCCAUGCCGCGUGUGUGAAGAAGGCCUUCGGGUUGUAAAGCACUUUCAGCGGGGAGGAAGGCGUUAAGGUUAAUAACCUUGGCGAUUGACGUUACCCGCAGAAGAAGCACCGGCUAACUCCGUGCCAGCAGCCGCGGUAAUACGGAGGGUGCAAGCGUUAAUCGGAAUUACUGGGCGUAAAGCGCACGCAGGCGGUCUGUCAAGUCGGUUGUGAAAUCCCCGGGCUCAACCUGGGAACUGCACUCGAAACUGGCAGGCUAGAGUCUUGUAGAGGGGGGUAGAAUUCCAGGUGUAGCGGUGAAAUGCGUAGAGAUCUGGAGGAAUACCGGUGGCGAAGGUGGCCCCCUAGACAAAGACUGACGCUCAGGUGCGAAAGCGUGGGGAGCAAACAGGAUUAGAUACCCGUGUAGUC
This 465-nucleotide ribosomal RNA is filed under the name uncultured bacterium. RNAcentral describes it as "bacterial SSU rRNA". It matches the Rfam family "Bacterial small subunit ribosomal RNA", at positions 338 to 795 of the family's 1533-position model. The record is from RNAcentral.